ACUUAAAUUGAAGAGUUUGAUCAUGGCUCAGAUUGAACGCUGGCGGCAGGCCUAACACAUGCAAGUCGAGCGGUAGCACAGAGAGCUUGCUCUCGGGUGACGAGCGGCGGACGGGUGAGUAAUGUCUGGGAAACUGCCUGAUGGAG
RNAcentral lists this ribosomal RNA (146 nucleotides) under Klebsiella aerogenes. RNAcentral's name for it is "partial 16S ribosomal RNA". It matches the Rfam family "Bacterial small subunit ribosomal RNA", at positions 1 to 138 of the family's 1533-position model. The record is from RNAcentral. Lineage: Bacteria; Pseudomonadati; Pseudomonadota; Gammaproteobacteria; Enterobacterales; Enterobacteriaceae.